UUCAUGGAGAGUUUGAUCCUGGCUCAGGACGAACGCUGGCGGCGUGCUUAACACAUGCAAGUCGAACGGAAAG
This 73-nucleotide ribosomal RNA is filed under the name Gordonia westfalica. RNAcentral's name for it is "partial 16S ribosomal RNA". It matches the Rfam family "Bacterial small subunit ribosomal RNA", at positions 1 to 73 of the family's 1533-position model. Lineage: Bacteria; Bacillati; Actinomycetota; Actinomycetes; Mycobacteriales; Gordoniaceae. RNAcentral also lists the same sequence under 4 other names. The record is from RNAcentral.